This 784-nucleotide ribosomal RNA is filed under the name Escherichia coli. RNAcentral describes it as "partial 23S ribosomal RNA". It matches the Rfam family "Bacterial large subunit ribosomal RNA", at positions 2137 to 2915 of the family's 2925-position model. Lineage: Bacteria; Pseudomonadati; Pseudomonadota; Gammaproteobacteria; Enterobacterales; Enterobacteriaceae. The record is from RNAcentral.
UGUAGGAUAGGUGGGAGGCUUGGAAGUGUGGACGCCAGUCUGCAUGGAGCCGACCUUGAAAUACCACCCUUUAAUGUUUGAUGUUCUAACGUUGACCCGUAAUCCGGGUUGCGGACAGUGUCUGGUGGGUAGUUUGACUGGGGCGGUCUCCUCCUAAAGAGUAACGGAGGAGCACGAAGGUUGGCUAAUCCUGGUCGGACAUCAGGAGGUUAGUGCAAUGGCAUAAGCCAGCUUGACUGCGAGCGUGACGGCGCGAGCAGGUGCGAAAGCAGGUCAUAGUGAUCCGGUGGUUCUGAAUGGAAGGGCCAUCGCUCAACGGAUAAAAGGUACUCCGGGGAUAACAGGCUGAUACCGCCCAAGAGUUCAUAUCGACGGCGGUGUUUGGCACCUCGAUGUCGGCUCAUCACAUCCUGGGGCUGAAGUAGGUCCCAAGGGUAUGGCUGUUCGCCAUUUAAAGUGGUACGCGAGCUGGGUUUAGAACGUCGUGAGACAGUUCGGUCCCUAUCUGCCGUGGGCGCUGGAGAACUGAGGGGGGCUGCUCCUAGUACGAGAGGACCGGAGUGGACGCAUCACUGGUGUUCGGGUUGUCAUGCCAAUGGCACUGCCCGGUAGCUAAAUGCGGAAGAGAUAAGUGCUGAAAGCAUCUAAGCACGAAACUUGCCCCGAGAUGAGUUCUCCCUGACCCUUUAAGGGUCCUGAAGGAACGUUGAAGACGACGACGUUGAUAGGCCGGGUGUGUAAGCGCAGCGAUGCGUUGAGCUAACCGGUACUAAUGAACCGUGAG